ACCUGUCGGUUACAUCCUCAGAUUUUUGUGUUUGUAUGAGCCGAAUGUUGGCAGAAAUUUCAUGUUUUUUUAAUGUAAAUGUCAGAAGGUCCCACACGACUGAGAGGGUUACUCCGCUACCAAUAUUAAAACCUAGCAUUACUGAAGGGGUAGAACAUGGCCAUCGUUAUUUUCAUGUUUAUGGGUGUCAUGGCCGUGGAUUUUGUCCCAUGGGCGCUGCCAUCUUCCAAAUUGAAGAUUUUUUGGCAGAAGUAUUCAGGCGUCCGUGUGAGUCAUAUCGAUCUUCGUGAUUGUUGAAAAGUAGUGUCCGCGGUGGUUUUUCUACCACCCCUCCCCCCUUUUAUGGAGGGAUACCGGGAUUGCGGCCUACUCCCGUUCAGGACCUCUUGCCGUAUUUUAAAAUACGGUCCUCACACGGGUCGGCUCGGAAGUCAAAAUGGCUUCCGAGUCUAAAUGCCAAGGACACCCCGUCGUCCGAUUCCGGACGAAUCCCUCGGGCCUCCGGCCCUAAUUACCCAGGAGGGCCUCUCUCGGCACGGU
Long non-coding RNA from Aedes albopictus (Asian tiger mosquito), 540 nucleotides. RefSeq lists it as uncharacterized. NCBI's taxonomy places the organism in Eukaryota, Metazoa, Arthropoda, Insecta, Diptera, Culicidae. The record is from RefSeq and is a predicted model, not a curated record. The transcript is spliced from 2 exons.